UUAAUCAUUCCAAUUUUUUAACUAAGAAUUAAUUAAAUCAACUCAAUGUUUAGUCGUGCGUAUCGGACUAAAUAUUUUAGUUUUUCAACCAAUUUUUUUUCUCAGUGUAGAUUUAUAAUCAGCGAUCCUAAAUAAGUGACCUUUAGUAAGACGUAAAUUAAAUGCUAAUUCCUAGAAAAAUCAGGCACGAAAGAGUUAAUGUGAUUGCGUGUUCCGUGUGUUAAGUACAAUCUACUAUAAGAGUGCAGACAUUAUAGAAGAAAUAAGGCAUAGAGAAUAAGAAACAGUUCAUUAUGUUAAACAAGAAAGACAUGUCAAACAUUCCCUAUUCAAUAUAUUGAACCGUUCCUUAUUUCUUAUUUCUUCUAUUGUGACUGCAUCCUACGAUAUCAUAACGUCAAGGAAUUCUUAAAGAGAUCGUAUUUGGAGAGGCCAUUAGUCCAGGCCUAUAACAGGAGUAGCUAUGUAGUAAGUCGUAAAAAAUUGAUCAUCUUUAGUCGACUGUUCUUUUAAUCAUUCGACUGUGUGGACAAUUUCAUAAGGCUUAAAUUAUGAUUAUUACACCUAUUGUGGUUCGAAACUAAAAAAUAUAGCUUUUUAGCUAGUCUCCAAAAUAGCUUUCCUUAAAUAUCACUGCAAUUGAGAAAGUGAUUUCUUGUUACAAUAAUUAUAUAAAAAUUAAGAAGUGCAAAUAGUUUUUUUCUGGAAUUUUAUAGUAUAUUUACAUACCUGUAAAACAUUUAAUUUUGCAAAUUCGACCCAUAAUUAGGACUCGUAAUUAGGACCGUUUGCAUGUUGUAUUGUUACAUACAUACUUAUUGUAAAAGUUUUAAAUAUCGUUUGCAAACAACAAUUAAAUUCUGCUAAUGGCGGAUUCAUCUAUGAUUCGGUCUCUCGCCGUAAUGCCGCGAAAUAUUUCGCAUUUUACGUGAUUUUCCCUCGCCGUAUUUACAUUGGCGAUAAACCGAACUGCAUCUGUCGGAUGCAUCUUGACAGAUCGGAUCGCGAGGGAUGAAGAUUUUCUCGGUUUUCCGACGGAAGUGUUAUGUAAUAUCGUACAGGCGACGUCUGGCAAAAGUCCAUAAAUCCUCGUGAGAUCAUGAAGCGGAAGAGCAGGCGCUUUUACGCGCGUGCAUUUACGUUCGAAAACACUUUCGCCGCGGUUUCUCCUCGUUCCCCGUUGGCCCGAUGAAAGGAAGAAGGACGGAGGAGCAACGUGUUUCCCUUGUGCCGGGAGAAUCGCCGGAAGUACGUGGGAAACGUUUCCUUUCGGUCGCCCGCUGUCUAAUCUCGAAAUAUAUACGUGCCGUGUCUUUACGCAGACGUGCCUUUCACGUAAAUCACGUUCUUAUCUCUCGCGUGUCACUAUUUAGGGAUCCCGCGGUAGAAACGCACAUCUUGUUGCGCGUUUAGUUAAUGUGCGAUCGUCUUAUCUCUCCGUGUCACAAUCAAAGGAAGCGUCAAAAGAUAAAAUGUAAAAGACGAUCUCUGAAUGGAGGUGAGAACGCGUGCCUGUGACUUAUAUUUAAUGUCGGCAACUUUGCUACCGCGUCAAACCUUUUUGACCCAGUUGCGACUUCGAGUGAUUUAGGAGCGUUAAAGGUGAAGAUGCGAGAAACAUUCAUCGUUACUAUCGUCCCGAUUGACACGACUCGUACAGCACAGAAAAUUGCAGAAACAUUGCAGAAAUAUUUCUUUGCAAUAUUGCAAAAGCAUUACGAAAUGUUGCAGCAACGGUAAAAUGUCCAUUUUCAGAGCUAUUGUAAUGUAAUUUUGCAUCAAUGUUACGAUAAAAUGUAUAUUUAAUAAUAUGUAAUCGUAUAUCAUGAUAAUUAAGAUGUUUUUAAUUUGAACGAACAAUUGGUGAAAUAUGUAUACAAGAGAGUAUCAAAAAUUAAUAGGUAUAAUUAUAUAAAAUAAUUAUACAUAUAAGUAAAUUUGCCAUACACUAUUAAUAUCGUAUUAUAUAAAAUAUAUACUAUUAUACAUGUUAAUACAUUAUUAAUAUCGCAAUUGCAGUUGAAUGCAAAUUUACAUAUGUAUAAUUAUUUUCUUAAUUUUUCGCAUUUAUAUACAUCCUACAAAUUGUUCGUGAUUGAGAUAUAAUUAAAUUAUAUUUUGGUUUGAAAGAUUUCUUUAAUUACGGAAAUUGUUAAUACCAAAUAUUUUCAAAAAUAGCUCUGCUUGUGUCUAAUCACAGUAGAGAUUCGUGCUUAAAUGCAAUACAAAACUUCUAUGAAAUUGUUUAAAAGCUUAAUAAAUUAGAAAAUUUGCACACAAAUAUUUAUACAUAAAAUCUUUGCAGUUUAUUUUCACAAUAAUUUAAAAUAGUACUACAAUAUUACUAAUUCUUUGUUUAUUAUUAGAUUCCUUCUGCGAACACGACAGAGUCAUUCAUGUUAGAAUUAAUUUUCAGUACUUUUACAAAGAAAUUUUUAAGUGAUUCUUACGCACGUUUUAACAUCUUGAAAAAAUAUUUGUAAAUUGUUAAUUUAAAAAAUAAUCAUAUAUAAAUGUUAUAACUAAUUAAUAGCUGACAAGAGAUCAAAGAAAUGUAUGUUUUUACACAAAAAUUUAUAACUUUGAAACAAAAUGACUUAAGGAAAAAUACUUUCAUGCCUCAAAGUUGACAUUUCAACUGCAUAGUUUAAGUGUUGGCUUUUGAAAAAGUUGAAUGAUUCAAACUUGAAAAUGACAUUUUUUAAUAUAAAUUGAAAGUAUAUUGCAUUUUUACAUAUUUUUAUUCUUUUUUUUAGGUUUGAAUUGUUUUGAAAAAUGAUACAUAUAUUAUCUAGUUAUUUUUUAAUGUUUGGAACAACAUUGAAUAUACAAAUGUUAAAAAAUAAAAAUUUUAAAUGACGAAUUUAAUAUUACGAAUUUGAAUAAAAUAUUAAAUUGUAAUGGAAUUGAAUCAUGGGCGUAAUUGGUUGUUUAUUUGCGGAUUUUGUUUAUUUUAAGUAAAUGUAAAGAAAUUGUUGAUUUUUUUUCCUCUGUAAAUAUCAAUCAAUAGCAUUUCUAUAUUAAUAGUUAUUUUUCCAAUUAUUGAAACAAAAAGUUUAAAAAUUACGCAUGUUUAUACAUUGUGUAUAAGUAUCAACAGAAAUUUAUAUCACUUAUAUAUGAGUAAUUGCCGUACAAAAAUAAUACUCGCAUCAAAUUUAUUAUGAUUAGUCAAAUUUAUUAUAACAAACUGAGAAGCUCGUUUAUGUCAAGAACAAAUUAAUAUGGAUAAAAGGCCAAAAUAACGAACUAUAUUAUCUGAUAGACCUUGAAAAUUUAUUACAAUAUAAUAAUGUUUGCAAAACUUAAAGCGCGGAACAUGUUUCGAUCUUACUUGAUCCUUUUCAAACCUAAUAACUGUCUGAUAAAAUUCAAAUUUAUUAUAACAAACCGACAAGCUCGUUUAUGUCAAAAACAAAUUAAUAUGAAUAAAAGAUCAAAAUAACGAACAAUAUCAUUUGAUAGAUUUUGAAAAUUUAUUACAAUAUAAUAAUGUUCGCAAAACUUAAAGCAUGGAACAUGUUCCAAUCUUACUUGAUCCUUUCCAAACCUCAUAACUGUCUGAUAAAAUUUGAAACAUGUUUCAGUAAUAAAUUUUCAAGAUCUUUCACAUGAUAUUGUUUGUUAUUUUGACCUUUUAUUCAUAUUAAUUUGUUUUUGACAUAAACGAGCUUGUCAGUUUGUUAUAAUAAAUUUGAAUUUUAUCAGACAGUUAUUAGGUUGUUUUAUACGCUGGCCUUAAAAGGCAUGAUCAUAAUAGACAAGAUUAUUAUUGUUGUUGGAAUUUAAAUUUUGUCAGACAGUUAUUACAUUUGAAAAGGAUCAAGAUCGAAACAUGUUCCGUACUUUAACUUUUGCGAAUAUUAUUAUAUUGUAAUAAAUCUUCAAGAUCUAUCAGAUAAUAUUGCUCGUUAUUUAGCCUUUUAUUCAUAUUAAUCAAAUUUAUUAUGUUAAAUCUAUUUUAUUAGUCUGAUAACUUUUCAAUCUUAUUACAUAAAUAUCACAGGCACACAAAAAAACAAAAGUGUCAUGUCCGAGAAACUACACCUAUGUAUCCCUAUGUAUUUUGGCACUCUCAAACCGAAUAUAACCUCAGAAUUGCUUCAUCAGGUCAGGAUCUUUUUUACACUCAAAAAAAUGCCAAAUAUUCCUUACACUAUUUAGCCUGGUAAAAAAAAUUCUGAUCUGAUGGAGCAAUUCUGGUUGUGCAUAGCUACACACAUAAAAAAAAGUGCCAUGUCCGAGAGAUUAAACCUUUGUAUUCCUAUGUAUUUUGAGGCUCUGAAACCGAAUAUAACCUCAGAAUUACUCCAUCAGAUCAAUAUUUUAUUUUACUUAUAAAAUUGCUAAACGUUCCUUAAAAUUACACAUUAUUUAACCCGGUAAAAAAAGAAUCUUGACUUGAUGGAGCAAUUCUGAAGUCAUAUUCAGUUUCAGGACGUCAAAACACAUAAGGAUACAUAGGUGUAGUCUCUCGGACAUGAUACUUUUGUUUUUUUUUGUGUGCCUGUGUAUUUUUUUAUAUUUUAUUAUUGUAUUUAUAUCACAAUAUUUUUCAGUUAAAGUUUAAAUAAUGUCCAUUAAAACAACCCCUUGUUGAAUUAAAUAACUGAAUAUUUAUUAUACUAAAAAUAUAAUUUUUUAAAGACUUUCAUACAUAUAUGAAUGUCUCUUUAAAGAAUUAUUAGUCCCGAAUAAGUUGAAUAGUGCAUUUUAUUAUGAACAUAGUGUUAUAAAAACUUAACACUAAUUAUUAGAAGCAUUUUUUAAUAUUGUUUAAAACAUGUAUGAUGUCAAGCGUUUGAUGUUGAUUUUCUUAAAUUUGAACUUAAAAUUAUCACAGUUUAAUUUUUUUUUAUAUUUUUGAAAUCCCUUUAAUAUAAACGAGUAUUAGUUGAAAAAAUUAACGUUAAUUGAAAUUAAAGAAAAAAAUAAAAAUUUACAAGUAUAAAAGAAAUAUUUUUUUUCAAUAUUUUUGAAAUCUCUUCAAUAUAAACGAGAAUUAGGUGAAAAAAUUAAAGGUAAUUGAAAAUAAAGAAAAAAAUAAAAAUGUACUCAAAUA
This is a long non-coding RNA of Solenopsis invicta (red fire ant), 5062 nucleotides long. RefSeq lists it as uncharacterized. The record is from RefSeq and is a predicted model, not a curated record. Lineage: Eukaryota; Metazoa; Arthropoda; Insecta; Hymenoptera; Formicidae. The transcript is spliced from 2 exons.